UGUUUUGCAGUUCGGGAAGCUUAGAUCACGGUUGGGGGUCAGCUUCUUCUAAAGUAUUUCAAUACGAACGUCAUGCAUGAAAACUUCUCUUUCCGAUUGCUUUUUUAAAUAAUUUAUUUCGUAUUCGCACUCGGCGUUCGACAUCGCGCGAAGGUGCAGUAUGUGCAGCAUCUGAACGUAUCGCAACAAGGGCUUUUCCACCUGGGGACGAGAAGUGGAAGAAAUGUCCCUCUUCGACAGGCAGUGGUUAUCGAAGCACUGGGACCAUUCUGAAGACGAAUCACGUUUUCAAUAUGUCUUUUUUGGGGAUUACACGUGGCGAAAGGCGCUCCGUUAAAGGCCGAGUGAGCUGGUGAAAAAAAGACGAAAUUCUUCGCCGUUCGGGGACACUGGGUUUCGAUGGCUUCGUCCCUCAGGUUUAGAAAUCGAAAGGAUGCCAGCACCUGGCCGAGAAUGUCCUCAACUUUCUGGGCUAUAGUGCUACUGAGCAGCCUGCUCAUCAUCUAUUGCGGUCAGCUGGCAGCGGGGACGUGCGAGAUCGUCACGCUGGACCGCGACAGCAGCCAGCCGCGGCGGACCAUCGCGCGACAGACGGCGCGCUGCGCGUGCAAGAGGGGCCAGAUCGCCGGGACGACGAGGGCCAGGCCGGCCUGCGUGGACGCGCGCAUUGUGAGGACCAAGCAGUGGUGUGACAUGAUGCCCUGUUUGGAAGACGAGGGCUGCGACCUCUUAGUAAACAGAUCAGGCUGGACUUGCACACAGCCCGGAGGAAGAGUCAAAACCACCACAGCACUAUGACGAGAUGGAGAUCCCUUUCAUACAAACGUGACGGAGCACAGUGUGGUCCCGACAGAGACAGUGAAAACCAACCACUCGCCAAGAACAGACAUGAACACAACAUCAAACUGCAAAAACCACUGCGGGCCUUACCGACGCCAUAAGGUCUCCUGAGGAUGGGAGCGACAGAGACUGAGAGUUUACGGGAGCAGCGUGGACUCUGGCACUGAGCUGCCCCCCCCCUACAGCGGGUCUUCACCGCUGAGGAUUAUCUGCUGCCUGUCAUUGGCUCAGCUCAUCCAUCCAUGGACAGCGCCCCCCCUGUGCCCAGGAUGACCUCACGGGUCUGCGUGCCCCCACCUCGCCCAGAACGCGGAAACCCGAGAUUUAAAAAGGACAACGUCGGCCCUGCUCUGAAAACCACAAAGGAACUGGGUUUUUUACUUUGUCAGAGAGGGAGGAAGCCCUCCGAGAACACUGGGGCACCGGCUCGCCGCAGACUGGACCUACGGUUCCGACCUGACUCCACAAUCACCAUGAAACUGACCCACGAGGACAUCUGUAAAACUUUAUAUUUGGCACUCUCGCUUAGUUUUUUACCGACCAAAGAAAAACAGCAUUUAAGGUGGACUGGACAGACCAGGUUGGAAACGAAAGGGAAUCUGGGAAUUUUAUAAAGUCAGCUCUCACAAGAUGACAACAUACAGAUACAUAUAGAAACACAAACACAAAUACACACACACACGCAC
This is an RNA transcript of Megalops cyprinoides (Indo-Pacific tarpon), 1526 nucleotides long. It is a transcript of the gene named TAFA chemokine like family member 5a, with no coding region annotated. Lineage: Eukaryota; Metazoa; Chordata; Actinopteri; Elopiformes; Megalopidae. The record is from RefSeq and is a predicted model, not a curated record. The transcript has 5 exons.